GCUGGCGGCGUGCUUAACACAUGCAAGUCGAACGGAGUUAACGAGGAGCUUGCUCCUUUUAACUUAGUGGCGGACGGGUGAGUAACGCGUGGGUAAUCUGCCUCAUACAGGGGGAUAACAGUUAGAAAUGACUGCUAACACCGCAUAACAUAGCGGAACCGCAUGAUUCUGCUAUCAAAUAUUUAUAGGUAUGAGAUGAGCCCGCGUCUGAUUAGCUAGUUGGUGAGAUAACAGCCCACCAAGGCGACGAUCAGUAGCCGUACUGAGAGGUAAAUCGGCCACAUUGGGACUGAGACACGGCCCAAACUCCUACGGGAGGCAGCAGUGGGGAAUAUUGGACAAUGGGGGCAACCCUGAUCCCAGCGACGCCGCGUGAGUGAAGAAGUAUUUCGGUAUGUAAAGCUCUAUCAGCAGGGACGAUAAUGACGGUACCUGACUAAGAAGCCCCGGCUAACUACGUGCCAGCCGCCGC
This 472-nucleotide ribosomal RNA is filed under the name uncultured bacterium. RNAcentral describes it as "bacterial SSU rRNA". It matches the Rfam family "Bacterial small subunit ribosomal RNA", at positions 35 to 518 of the family's 1533-position model. The record is from RNAcentral.